UACAAACAAUAUUGGUUUAUCUUUGGAUUCAAAGGUGCCUUGAAGAUAAGAGAGCAUAAAUCCAUUUAUGUCCAAUUGCUUCCAUAAAUACGCCUUCUUUUUUCAACUUACAACUUCCUUUGGUGUUUUUAUUUUUGUUUUUUUAUCUUUGACAUUUUUUUCUUUCUUUUCUUUUUCUUUUCUUUUUAUUUUCCAUUGUUUUGUUAAAGUACAUUAAUUUUUCUUUUGAAUUUCAUCACCAAUUUUAACAUACUUAAUUUUCUUUUCUUUCAUAAAACGUUCUCCCCAACUUGCAUAUUAUGAUACACUUAAAAUUAAUGUUCUCAUACCCUUAAGACAAGGUAUAAGACCCCAAUUUUUACCCUAAGAUCC
Molecule: long non-coding RNA, 372 nt
Filed under: Lathyrus oleraceus (garden pea)
Lineage: Eukaryota; Viridiplantae; Streptophyta; Magnoliopsida; Fabales; Fabaceae
Description: Pisum sativum (pea) long non-coding RNA (PSAT_LNC009268)
Source: RNAcentral